CUCAGUUCGGAUCGGAGUCUGNAACCCGACUCCGUGAAGCUGGAUUCGCUAGUAAUCGCGCAUCAGCCAUGGCGCGGUGAAUACGUUCCCGGGCCUUGUACACACCGCCCGUCACACCAUGGGAGUCGGUAACACCCGAAGUCGGUAGCCUAACCGUAAGGAGGGCGCCGCCGAAGGUGGGAUUGAUGACUGGGGUGAAGUCGUAACAAGGUAAC
This 215-nucleotide ribosomal RNA is filed under the name uncultured bacterium. RNAcentral's name for it is "partial 16S ribosomal RNA". It matches the Rfam family "Bacterial small subunit ribosomal RNA", at positions 1287 to 1500 of the family's 1533-position model. The record is from RNAcentral.